UGGGGAAUAUUGCACAAUGGGCGCAAGCCUGAUGCAGCCAUGCCGCGUGUGUGAAGAAGGCCUUCGGGUUGUAAAGCACUUUCAGCGAGGAGGAAGGUGGUGAGCUUAAUACGCUCAUCAAUUGACGUUACUCGCAGAAGAAGCACCGGCUAACUCCGUGCCAGCAGCCGCGGUAAUACGGAGGGUGCAAGCGUUAAUCGGAAUUACUGGGCGUAAAGCGCACGCAGGCGGUUUGUUAAGUCAGAUGUGAAAUCCCCGGGCUCAACCUGGGAACUGCAUUUGAAACUGGCAAGCUAGAGUCUCGUAGAGGGGGGUAGAAUUCCAGGUGUAGCGGUGAAAUGCGUAGAGAUCUGGAGGAAUACCGGUGGCGAAGGCGGCCCCCCUGGACGAAGACUGACGCUCAGGUGCGAAAGCGUGGGGCAGCAAACAGGAUUAGAUACCCUGGUAGUCCAGCGCUGUAAAACGAUGUCGAUUUGGAGGUUGUGCCCUUGAGGCGUGGCUUCCGGAGCUAACGCGUUAAAUCGACCGCCUGGGGAGUACGGCCGCAAGGUUAAAACUCAAAAGAAUUGAC
RNAcentral lists this ribosomal RNA (571 nucleotides) under uncultured bacterium. RNAcentral describes it as "partial 16S ribosomal RNA". It matches the Rfam family "Bacterial small subunit ribosomal RNA", at positions 355 to 914 of the family's 1533-position model. The record is from RNAcentral.